UACGGGGGGGGCAAGCGUUGUUCGGAAUUACUGGGCGUAAAGGGCUCGUAGGUUGCCAACUAAGUCAGCCGUGAAAUCCCUCGGCUUAACCGGGGAACUGCGUCUGAUACUGGAUGGCUUGAGUUCGGGAGAGGGAUGCGGAAUUCCAGGUGUAGCGGUGAAAUGCGUAGAUAUCUGGAGGAACACCGGUGGCGAAGGCGGCAUCCUGGACCGACACUGACACUGAGGAGCGAAAGCCAGGGGAGCAAACGGG
This 253-nucleotide ribosomal RNA is filed under the name uncultured bacterium. Its description in RNAcentral is "partial 16S ribosomal RNA". It matches the Rfam family "Bacterial small subunit ribosomal RNA", at positions 524 to 776 of the family's 1533-position model. The record is from RNAcentral.